Molecule: non-coding RNA, 1463 nt
Organism: Triticum urartu
Lineage: Eukaryota; Viridiplantae; Streptophyta; Magnoliopsida; Poales; Poaceae
Source: RefSeq, a predicted model, not a curated record
CCCUCACGCCGCCGCCGUCCCCCGCACCCCCGCCCCUCCCCAGAGUUUCUCGAUCCAGCCCCGCCCCCUUCACGCCCUCGCCGCCACCACUGACAGCGCCCGACCCUCCCCUCGAUCUCAGAUCGCAUCGAGCUCCCCCCUCUCCCUCCCACUUCUUGAAGCUCCCACGUCCCACCGUCGAACUCGGGCAGCCGAGCGGCAGGGGCGUCCCCAGCGCCGUCGAUCUCGGCCAUGGCCUGCAGCCAGUAGGCGCAAGUCCAGUGGCCCGACCGCCCGCCCCCACGCGCGAGCCUCGCGGAAUCGACCCCCCUCCGUCCGUGACAUGUUACGGUGGAGAGUUCCCCUUCCCCGUGGCGGCAGGUGCUGGUGGCGGUUGCGCCAUGGCGCUCGUCUCCCGGCCUGCUCCGACGCGGCGCAGGCCGCCGCAGACCUUGCCGGAGCCGCCGUGGGACGAGACGCCGAGCUCGAGCUCGGAAGCGUCAGAGCCACCGAUUCCUGAAGACCCGAGGCUGCAGGAGAUCCGAUCGGAGCUGCUUGAUUCCCCGACGAUGCUGGAGCAGUUGGUGUUGUCCAUCCCGGAGUCCUCCGCAUUCGUGGUCCGCCUGCUCGUAGAGGGGGACGAGCACGACCACAUACGCCAGAGCGUGCUCGGCGGGUUCGUGCACCCCGUGCGGGAGAUCAUGGGGAACAAGCAGGAGCAUGCGGUGUUCCAAGCGCUGCUGCGCUUCUCCCAGUGGCGGCAGGAGGAGCUCAGCCGCAUCGUGGACGCCGCCUGGAGCCCAACCUCGUCUUGAGGACCAAUGACGGUUGGAGUGACUUAAUCGAGCGCUACGAGGGCAUAAAUCAUGGUGAAUAUCAGAAACUGUUGGCGGAUAUCGCAAGGUUGAGGCAUGAGCGUGACCACCUGGAGGCCAGCGUGAGGAGGUAGACAAGAGAAGACCUGCCGUCCGGCGCAACCGCGGCAGAGCUCCGCAGUCUGGAGCACAAGCUAGAGUGCGCGCUGGGUAAAGUCCGUGAAACGAAGGAUAACUGAUGGAGAAACAGCUGGAUGAAUCACACCACAGGGUGCACAUCCUGGAGGAGCAGAACAGCUUCCUUGGCCACAUGAUUUUGAAGGUAUUGAAGCACAACCUUUGUACCCAACCUGCAAAAUGCUAGUAUAAGAUUCUUAGAUAAGGAGGGCUCCAGGCGCUCAAACAAUUUCAACUACAAGCAGAUAUUUUGCCUAAAUUCAAGACGAAAGAAGAUGUUCAAAGAAGCGCCAAGACAUUUUUGUAUAGCAAGUUAUGUAAUAAUAGUUGGGUUAUCUGGGCAUUGUGAACUCCAGAAUUUCAUAUAUCUUCUCUCUGUUUUGGAAUGAAAUGUUGUAUGUUUUAGAAUUACAAUUUUUUGUUUCAUAUGAAAUAGUAAUUAUGUAUGUGAUUUGAAAAUGUGUGCAAUGGAAACAUGACUCAGGUGACCCA